UGGUGAUAGCAGUGUGUCAUGCAGCAGAGAUGGUGACAAUUGCUUUAGACUGAAUUUUUAUUCAAAAUCUAGCAAAAUCAAGUACAAAACACUAGGUGUAUUCAAUGUUGAGAGACAGGCACAUGGUCAGGUUAUGAACAAUCAGGAUAUAAGAGAUCAAGGCAGCAAUCACAAUCAAGGUAAACAAUCCAGAAUCAACACAGCAAUCAAUCAAGCAGUGGUAUGGCAGUUGUGAAACAGAGUUGAACAGAUACUUCGCAGUAUAAGUUUGGAGUGUACUUAUAUAGAGGUAGUACUUAUAUGGAGGUGAGUAGUGAUAGCGUCCAGGUGUGUGUAAUCGGUAAUCUGGUGAAAAAGAACAUGACAUUGAGUGUGCUUUGUGAGUUUCACAGUCCAAUGAGUCCAUGUUUGUAGUUUGUGGUUUAUUCUGGGGUACAAAGUUUGAUGCCGAUUCCUGUACAGACAUGAUAUAGUGAUGUUGCUAAUGAUGACCAGAGUUGUGUUCUAAAAUGGAAAUGCUGGUGAUGAUAAAUGAACAACAAAAAUAACUGGGAAAAAAUGUUUCUCUCUUUGCAGAGGUUUCAAGAGAGGGGCUCAGCCUGAAGUUUCUCUCCAACAUGCGUAACAAUGAAGUGAAUCUGAAAUCUCACAAAACUGGUUUAUCAGUUUUCAAAAAGUCCUCUGCAAGGACCUUGGCAACAUAUCUGAAUAACUGCAAAGAUGCUGCAGCAAAACCCCUCUAGAUGCUAUCACCUUCAUGGACAGUGUAAAAAGACAUCCUGUCACAUCUUCAGAUCUUCAUGUCCCCUCGGCACAGCUCUGCGAGGAAGCUCAACCAAAUAGCACAGACAGAUAUUUGUUCCAAAUUGGGGUGAAACAUGUGUCAGUUUCAUUGCCAGUGCUAACAACCAUUCAGGACCAGAUGAGAAGCAAAGCCGCAGCCUGCUGCUCAGGCACUAAUGACACCACUGCAUGUUUAAAGAAGCCUGGCUGUCACAUUGACCAAAGAAUGUCGGAUCUCUCAAUUUUCUUGUUUUUCAGUAAAGCAAAUUGGAGAAAGCAGCAGCACUAGAGUUCCUGAUUGACAACUUCUGUAAACAGUACUUUAAACUGGAGUUGCCUGCAUUCAAAACUUAAAUAACGUGUCCUCUGUACUGUGCCAUGUGGACGAGUCCGCUUCCACCUACGUACUUGUUCUAGUAUAGUUUUAUAACUUCUAAUGGCAUUUUUUAAACAAAUGAAAAGCAAGCCUACCAUCAGCCACUUGUCUUUUAACAUAUGGUUUCUGCCCACCACAACACAUUAGCUCUUGAGGUAGAAAAUAAGCCAUUUACAUUGAAUAAAAAUGUUCCUAAUUUUGAAGUAUUUCAUUAGCAUUGCACAAACUGUAUCAUAUGAUUUAACUAACCAGAAUUAGCUGCCUGACAUCUCUUUUAAAGCAACUCCAAAAAAGCUGAUGUGGCUGAUAAUAACGCAGUAUUUGCAUCAUAUGGGAAUUUUUCUAAUUAUCACUUUCCAACUGGGAGAAACCAUUCAUGUCAACCUCAGAGUAGUAAUGUUGCCUGAAACUCAUAUGAUGGAAAACGUCAAAAUUUGUUCAAAAUAUAAUGUGAAGAUAAAAUAAAUGUGUGUAGAUGUGUUUGUUUUCUGUUCAGAAGGUAUUAUGAAUCAAAAAUGAGCUUUCGCCAUUUUAAUACAUGUUGGUUGAUCAUAUUAAUAAUUAAGUAACUUUCAGGCUUAGAACUCUAAAUCACAGUGCAGAUGCAAAAUUAAUCCAUUUACACAAUCAGUUGGAAAGGCCCCCAUCUGCAUAUGUUAAAAGGCAAUUACACAUAAGAGAAAAGAUGUGCUAAUAAAUCAGCAUGCACAUAUUUUACAGACAUCAAGUUUCAUAUGUUUUUACACAGAGCCUCAGUUCUGUUGAAUAUUAGGAAAUGUGCUAAGGUGUAAAAUUAAAACAGUGACAUGCAACAUGCGAAUGCUGACUAAUGGAAAAUAAAAACCCCAAUCACCCUUUUAAAAAUGUAAACAAGGUGCAACACACAAGUCCUUUUAAAUUGGAAUAAAAAGAUGUUUUCCCAUGCUCCUAAAUGCUUCCACAUUACUCUAUAUUAAAGCUAAUUUAUGCCAGCUAGCUAUCAUCAGUUCUCUCAGAAAGUAUUGGAAUGUCAAGGUCAGUUAUUUUAUUUGUGCUUUACACUGAAAUGAUUUGGGUUUCAGAUCAAAAGAUUAAUGCGAGAUAGAUCAGAAUUUC
Ictalurus punctatus (channel catfish) is the source of this 2254-nucleotide long non-coding RNA. The record is from Ensembl. Lineage: Eukaryota; Metazoa; Chordata; Actinopteri; Siluriformes; Ictaluridae.